Non-coding RNA from Anas platyrhynchos (mallard), 3859 nucleotides. NCBI's taxonomy places the organism in Eukaryota, Metazoa, Chordata, Aves, Anseriformes, Anatidae. The record is from RefSeq and is a predicted model, not a curated record.
UUUGGGGGUUUUAGUGGGGAAAAGAAGCCGCCUGAUGGUCUUUUUGUGGGUAGGGGGGUUGGGGGAGGCAGGUUGAGGUGGUGGGGGGAUGCUAGAAAGGUUCUCAUCCUGCCCUGGAGUGUUUUAGAGCGGCUGUGAGGCAAGCAGCUAUGGGGGGAUGAGCCCCUCAUGAGGGGUGAGCCCCUCAUGGGAAUCCCUCAGCUCGUCCCCGUGUGGGAAGGAGCCAACAUCCAUCCCUGCUGGGUGACCCAAGAGAGGCAGCAGGGCCCUCCGCCACCCUACUGCUGAAAAACCAGGGGGAUGUGAGCUGCCGGACUGCCCCACACGGGACACGGCUCAGAUCCUGCAAAUGUCCGCUUCAGUUGGGGAGGAAGCGUUAGGAAGAAAUGUAGCAUGCCUGAAAGUUGAAGAGAAGAAAAGGGAGUAACUUUGUGAGUUUGGCAGCUCAAAGAGGAGGUUCACCAGAAACACAAAGACUUCACCCGCUGCGUUAUCAGAUAAGGACAUUUGCCUUUCAUUUUAUGAACUGCAACACUUCGUCUGUGCUCGUGACAGUAAUGUGAGGAGAAGUAGAUGAUUUUCUGUAUCGGCUUCUGGCCUUUUAGUCGACACACCCUGCUGCCACUCCCUUUCUUUUGUUUCUAGCAAGUGUUGCUCUUCUGUCCUAAGGCAGAGAACCGGCAGUGAAAAUGGCUGUUUAAUAUUAAAAUAGAAAAACAAAAAAGGGAGAGAAAUGUAUAGGGUUUUUGCAUAUAGCAUUUCAAAUAUCUGAAACCCUCUCUCCCUUCUAGAGUCUAAUUUACAAGGUAAAUAAUGGAGUGAAAACCCUGAAGCGGCUCAUCCAGCUGAAGGCAAAAUUUCCCUCUGCCCACAACACUGCUUAAGUAAACCGACUUUUUGCUGGAAAGGUUGCCCUUUCAAAUGGCUGAAAAUACAAACACGCACAGAGCUUCCCAUCUGGAAACCAGUUACUUCACAUACCAGUACUGCUGAAAGCCAUAGCUGAUGAUGGAAACCGACCCGUGGGCAGAAAGGAUGUUGCUGUCUCACACUUCAGCAACAUCUAAAACACCUUCAAUUUUAUCCUGUCUUACUAGAGUUUCAUUGUAAAGACUGUUACAACUUUACCACGAUGUUUUGUAAUAAUGUAAGUUUUGUAAGCUUUAUGGUAAUAGCAUGCUUUGAAAGAAACUUAUACCUGCAGAAAGUUUCGUCCUCAAUUCUGUAUUAUCAAGAACAACUGAAGGCCAUGGCUGUGUAAAUCAGAAAGCAUCGUCUAACAUUAGCUAGAGACCUGAAUAAAGUACUCUAGGUCAGCUUCCUCCCGCUAACUGCUGGAAUUGUUCAUACCCUACCGUAAAUGCUCGGGAAUGGCUUAUCCUCCCAUUCCUUACUCCUCAUGACUUCACAAGAUCAAAAGACCUGUGCACAUGACAGUGCCCAGGAGGUGAAGGAUUUGCACAUCUGACUUCUCCACACUGAAGCACCUGAUGGGACCCGCACAUCCAUUCUUUCAGGGACUGAACAUCUUCCUGGAGUGCUGCACGAGCUGGUUGAUCGCUGUGGAAGGUUGACUGAUGUCCAUGUAAAGCUCCCCUGUAGUGUUAAGAGCUUUAGAAGCUCUAGAGACUUUCCUUUGGAGAUCGAGAGCUUUCAUCCCAGUAGUUUCUAGGUACAAUAAAGGCUUUGCUAUUCCUCCAGUUAUUCUGGUAAUAGGAUUCAACUGGAAAUUAAAAAAAAAAAAAAAUUGUCACAAUGUGUUGAGGGGACUAAGACACAAAGCUGGGGUGGCUGCUGUGUGUUUAAAGAAAAAUCAGAAAUAUUAAAGCAUCAGGAGUCUAAGGGACCAUACUGGUACCAGCCUCGUGCCUGCGGUGGCACAGAAACAGCAUUGGGAAGGAAGCUCUUUUAGUUCCAUCUAUCCAGACGCACGCCAUAACGCACUUAAAAGAAGCAGUCGUGUCUAAGACUUGCUUAGGUCCUCAUUGUGAAAUCUCUCUUGGACAGCUGCUUGCACAGCAGACAGUGUUCUACUGGAUAGUUGCUCCCGGGGCUUUUCCCAAAGCCUCAGACUUUCAGUGCUGAAACCUGUGCUGAACAAUCGUAAGCUCUGAACUUUCCAUGACCUAAACUGCACAGGCCAGUACCAGGCAUCCUGGAUUUACCAAAGGAAGUCAAGGGAGCAGCUGGAACGGUUGUACAGGUGGAGCAGCACAGGACACUGAUAGGAGGUAUUUUAUUCCAAAAUAGAUUAACAAAAACCCGACUCUCUAUUCCUAAACUUUCUGAAAAGCUGUGAAAAAUACGUUUAAUUUGUUGACGGAAGGCACUUUAGUGUGAACUAGUUCAAGUUAGCCUGCAACAAAUUUCAAGCCUGGACAGGUCUCUAAUAGAUCAUGUGGAUGCUUGACUCCACAUACUUUGCGUUUCAAUUAUCUACGCAGACCCUUUGGCUGAAUUAUCUGUGCCUUUUCCAACCUUAUCUCAAACAUGAGCCAUCUCUCAUGCAACUGUACAUUUCAGGGCUGCAAUCUGAAAAGAACCUGCAAGUCUCUCUCACCUUCCGUUCACAUUCUGUUGUAACUGAACUAACUCGUCAUGAUAAAAAACAAAAGUGUAUUUUGGUAUUUUUCUCCCAAAGCUAUCCAGAGCUUCAGAGAAAGGCCAUGCAAUGCUAAAUAAAACAUUUGGUAUCAGCAAACCUGCUACUGGGCUGCGUCUCUCAUCAGUCGGGGAGUUGCCAGAAGGGAGAAGGAACCGUGAGGAGCUGGAGCUUGUGUACACUUGAACUUGCAUUGCCACCAGGGCUGGGGGCGCACCUGCACUGACCACAGGGUCCAAAGACAACCCAAAGCUGUAAGUUCAUGAAGCCAUAAUCAGCUCUGAAACAAAAUAACAUGCAAGAUUGGUUGUGCCACCUCUUUUUCCAUUGAAACUUACUGCUGAGAUCUUUAGGAUGUAUCAGCAAGUUAAGAAUCACAAUUGGAAUCCAGAUUUUUUUCUGCCAGUUAAAGCACUUCUCUGAAACAGUACUAAAGGCUAAUUUCUUCCUCUAAAUUCUCUAGAGGUGAGACCCUUCUUUGCUAUCACUCAAGAAUACUGAAUCCUGAGGAGCACACAGAAACCACCAGUGUCUGGAAGAAAGUGGUCUGAUCUCUCACAGAGAAAAGGCAGACACUCAGGCCCAUUAUUCUUAAUUUAAGACUUCAACCUGAAAACAAAAAUAUUUCCUGCUUCUUUCUCAAGCCUUCAAAACAACCGCAUCUCAUGCUGUGGUGUAAUUUUUCCUCGGGGCGUCUCAAGGGAUUUGGGUUAUCUAACGCUAGCGGUAGAGGCGCAGCUCCCCGACGUGCCGAUGCCGAGGCGCACGCACGGUGCGAGUGUAGGACGAGAGGAGCUGCAGUUAUCGGUAGCUGCGUCAGGUAAAACGAGCUUUCUGCAGAAUUUGGCAGCAGGAGCCUUUUUGGAAAUGAGGUAGAGCGGCAGCUAUUUCUCCCCAGGGCAGGAAGAGAGCUGCGCUUCCUGACAAGAAGCAAAGCGCUGUAUGAAGCGUGGGGAUGAAGGCUGAGGAAUGCACAGGUGCUGGGCUGACCCUCACCCUGAUUUCAUGAAGCCGUUUUGGACCUGCUGCUGCCUAACACGCCGCUGCCCUGCGAUCGAUGCUGAGCCACGGCCGGGGCACCCAGAGGGGGCUUUUGGCAGUGCUUGCUGCCCCGGGACUCGGAGGUGCAAAUGGCAAUCAUCUGUUGCUUAAAUAAUGGAAAAAAGCUUACAGCAACAACAGGUAUGUUACCCUGGUGGCCUCUAGUAAUGGCAGAGAUGUCACACACUCACAUAGCCUUUGGUUUUGGAAGGAUGA